GGAGGCUAACGCAGGGAACUGAAACAUCUAAGUACCUUUUGAAAAAGAAAUCAACCGAGAGACCGUAAAUAGUGGCGAGCGAAAGCGGUUUAGGCUUAAAACAUGACCGUCUUUUUUUGAAUACCAAUGCCGUAGAGGGUAAUAGCCCCGUAAAAAAAAGAAAUCAAUGUUUUUUUAGUAUUACAUUAUCAAGCAAUCUUGUGUGAAAAAUGGGGUACCAUCCUCAAAGCCUAAAAAAUAUUUAACAACCGAUAGUGAACAAGUACCGUGAGGGAAAGGUGAAAA
Molecule: ribosomal RNA, 285 nt
Filed under: Pelagomonas calceolata
Lineage: Eukaryota; Pelagophyceae; Pelagomonadales; Pelagomonadaceae
Description: partial Bacterial large subunit ribosomal RNA
Rfam family: Bacterial large subunit ribosomal RNA
Source: RNAcentral